This 424-nucleotide ribosomal RNA is filed under the name uncultured bacterium. RNAcentral describes it as "bacterial SSU rRNA". It matches the Rfam family "Bacterial small subunit ribosomal RNA", at positions 355 to 776 of the family's 1533-position model. The record is from RNAcentral.
UAAGGAAUAUUGGUCAAUGGUGGAAACACUGAACCAGCCAUGCCGCGUGCAGGAUGAAGGACCUCUGGUUUGUAAACUGCUUUUAUCUGGGAAGAAACCCUGGGGCGUGUCCCGGGCUGACGGUACCAGAGGAAUAAGCACCGGCUAACUCCGUGCCAGCAGCCGCGGUAAUACGGAGGGUGCAAGCGUUAUCCGGAAUCACUGGGUUUAAAGGGUGCGUAGGCGGCUCUAUAAGUCUGUAUUGAAAGCAUCCGGCUUAACCGGGUAACUGGUAUGGAUACUGUAGGGCUUGAAUAAGGAUGAGGCUGGCGGAAUGUGACAUGUAGCGGUGAAAUGCAUAGAUAUGUCAUAGAACACCAAUUGCGAAGGCAGCUGGCUAGGCCUUUAUUGACGCUGAGGCACGAAAGCGUGGGGAGCGAACAGG